This 497-nucleotide ribosomal RNA is filed under the name uncultured bacterium. Its description in RNAcentral is "partial 16S ribosomal RNA". It matches the Rfam family "Bacterial small subunit ribosomal RNA", at positions 28 to 507 of the family's 1533-position model. The record is from RNAcentral.
GAUGAACGCUGGCGGCGUGCUUAAUACAUGCAGGUCGAGCGAACGGACGAGAAUCUUGCUUCUCUGAUGUUAGCGGCGGACGGGUGAGUAACACGUGGAUAACCCACCUAUAAGACUGGGAUAAAUUCGGGAAACCGGAGCUAAUACCGGAGGAUAUUUUGAACCGCAUGGUUCAAAAGUGAAAGACGGUCUUGCUGUCUCUUAUAGAUGGAUCCGCGCUGCAUUAGCUGGUUGGUAGGGUAACGGCUUACCAAGGCAACGAUGCAUAGCCGACCUGGGAGAGUGAUCGCCCGCCCUGGAGCUGAGCCGCGAUCCAGGGUCCUACGAUAGGCCGCAGUAGCGAAUCGUCGGCAAUGGGCGGAAGCCUGACGGAGCGGCGGCACGCGAGUGAUGAAAGUCUUCGGAUCGGAAAACUGUCUUAUGAGUGAAAAACAUAUUUGUCCGUAACUGAGCACAGCGUGACGGUACUUGGUAAAGAAGCACCGGCUAACUACGUG